UACGGAGGGUGCGAACGUUAAUCGGAAUCACUGGGCGUAAAGCGCGCGUAGGCGGUCUGUUAAGUGGGAUGUGAAAUCCCCGGGCUUAACCUGGGAAUUGCAUUUCAAACUGGCCGACUAGAGUACGGUAGAGGGAGGUAGAAUUUCCUGUGUAGCGGUGAAAUGCGUAGAGAUCGGGAAGAACAUCGGUGGCGAAGGCGCUCUACUGGACCACAACUGACACUCAGGGACGAAAGCUAGGGGAGCGAAUGGG
This 253-nucleotide ribosomal RNA is filed under the name uncultured bacterium. RNAcentral describes it as "partial 16S ribosomal RNA". It matches the Rfam family "Bacterial small subunit ribosomal RNA", at positions 524 to 776 of the family's 1533-position model. The record is from RNAcentral.